RNAcentral lists this ribosomal RNA (504 nucleotides) under uncultured bacterium. RNAcentral describes it as "bacterial SSU rRNA". It matches the Rfam family "Bacterial small subunit ribosomal RNA", at positions 28 to 507 of the family's 1533-position model. The record is from RNAcentral.
GACGAACGCUGGCGGCGUGCUUAAUACAUGCAAGUCGAGCGAGGUUACUGUUUCGGAUCCCUUCGGGGUGAAGAAGCUUUAACCUAGCGGCGGACGGGUGAGUAACGCGUGGGUAACCCUACCCCAAAGUCCGGGAUAACAGCGGGAAACCGCUGCUAAUACCGGAUGCCUUUACCUUGGGGCAUCUUGAGGUAAAGAAAGGUAACGCUUUGGGAUGGGCCCGCGUCCCAUUAGCUAGUUGGUGAGGUAACGGCUCACCAAGGCAACGACGGGUAGCCGGCCUGAGAGGGUGGUCGGCCACACUGGGACUGAGACACGGCCCAGACUCCUACGGGAGGCAGCAGUGGGGAAUCUUCCGCAAUGGGCGAAAGCCUGACGGAGCGACGCCGCGUGGGUGAAGAAGGCCUUCGGGUCGUAAAGCACUGUUGUAUGGGAAGAACAGCUAGAAUAGGGAAUGAUUUUAGUUUGACGGUACCAUACCAGAAAGGGACGGCUAAAUACGUG